GGACAUAGUGCUAAUCUUGAUGCAAGAUAGGUGCAUGAUUUGCAAGGAACAAACCAUAUGCUUAGAAAUCAAUUUGGACGCACCUAAUGGAACUCCUAGAUGACGUGUGUCACAUGGAAUCUUGCUUCGGUCCAUUUGUAGACAUUGUAAGUUUUAGUGCAAGAUAGGUGCACAGUUUGCGCCUAAUGCACUGUAGUCUAAGAAACCAUUUUGGACGCACUAUUUGGUACUCCUUUGUGAAGAGGCUCAAGUGGAAGCUUGGUUCGGUCAGUUUGG
RNAcentral lists this long non-coding RNA (276 nucleotides) under Sorghum bicolor (sorghum). Its description in RNAcentral is "long non-coding RNA (SBIC_LNC018624)". Lineage: Eukaryota; Viridiplantae; Streptophyta; Magnoliopsida; Poales; Poaceae. The record is from RNAcentral.